RNAcentral lists this long non-coding RNA (17361 nucleotides) under Equus caballus (horse). RNAcentral's name for it is "lncRNA (ENSECAG00000051139.1)". The record is from RNAcentral. Lineage: Eukaryota; Metazoa; Chordata; Mammalia; Perissodactyla; Equidae.
CUGAGUUAAUCUUAUGUCUGAGAUCUGGAGGUGAAACCACCAGGCUGGGAGUGAAUGUCUGUUUUUCGCUUUGUCAUGUUCGAGUGGGCUGUGCCUGGGCAUCUCCCCAGAGCCGAGGUCAGCUGAGGUUUCAGUUUGAAAGAGUGGUAGCAGAUGGUGGCGUUCCUCAGAGAGGUGGCCUCAGAGGUGAACCAGGUUGCUGGAAAUACCUUUCCCCACCCUACACAAGAACGCCAAACAUCAGCCAUGGCAUCCCCCUUCAUUCACACCAGUGUCGUCUAGGGAAACCGAACAACGUCAGGGUUUUUAGGGGACAUAUUGUAUCUUGAGGCAUUUCAUCUGCAGAACCUGUCUAGGUGGGACACUGUUGGACACUUUCUUAGGACAAAUGAAAACUUCUGUGUGCUACUUGAAAGAGAAAGUACGCCCAGCGUUCCUUUCCAGAACUGGCAGUUACCACCACUCGCACUUUGGCUUCCGACCAGCUUUGACUGCAGGCUGGAGAAACUAUGUGGAGAGAAAGACAGAAAGAGACACCUGAGUGGUCCCAGAGAUUCCAUCGCCUGGCGAUCCGGCUCUUCCCAGUCCUGCACCAGACACGUGAGGGAGGGAGUCUUCAAAAGGAGCCCAGCCCCAGCCGCCAUGUGAAUGCAGCCUCCUGAGAGAUCCCAAACCAGAGCAACCCAGCCACAGCACUCCUCAUCGGACUCGCAGAAACGAUGAAAGAUAAGAAAUGAAUAUUGUUAUUUGAAGCCACUAAGUUUUGGGGUGAUUUGUCAUGCAGCAAUAGUUACAGAUUUUAUAGCUAACUAAUAUAGGCACUCUCCUACCUAGCUGGUGGUAGAUUAAAUUGGUGCAUCCUCCUUGGAGUGCGCAGUUUACUAAUGCCUAACUGAAAUAAUACCUACACAGGCCCUUUGCCCAGAUAGUCCACUUUUAGAAGUUUCCUAACAAAUAUACCCACACCUAUGCAAAGUGAUAUAUGUAUAUAUAUUUAUCACGGUAUUGUUUAAAUAGAAACAAUCAGAAAUAACCUAAAAGGCAAUUCAUAUUAUAAAUUAUAUAUUAUAAAUUAUAACAUUCAAUGGAAUAUUGUUCAGUCCAACAAAGAAUGAGGGUAUUCUUCACACGAUGCCAUGAAAAAAAAUCUCCAACAUAAUUUCCAAGCAAAACAAUAAUAGAAAAGGACGUGCAAGGCAGCGUGGACAGUGCAGUGGCAGCUAUGUAGGAGGAGGAGAAGCCUGUCCUUGUUCCUAACUGCGUGAAUAUGCAUAGAUUAUCUUUGCAAUGUACGCGAGGAACCUUCACGUCCAUUGCCUGGAGAAGAGAACUAAUGGCUGACAGACAAGAGGGCGACGGUGGGGCUUUACACUUCAAGACUUCUUAAUUUUAUACCAAGUGAAUAUAUUACCUAAUCAGGAAUAAAAAAAUAAAAAUUAACUUAAAAAAAAAGAAAUUUCUAUCAGCUGUUUUUGCUUUAACUUAACACUGUCUGGACUUUUAGAUCUUAGAGCUGGGUCUUCAAACCAAGGCAAUUCUGAGGGUCAAGCAGAGUUUCUUCCAGGGUGUACAUCCUGGAGGGUAAGGGAACCAGUUUCUAGACAGAGAAUGAAUACCAGUGCUCUUGCUUACAGUUCAGCUGUCUGGGAAAGUACCUUGCUGGGCUGGUUCUCCCUGCUUCUCUCCCAGGUUUCUUUCUCUCACUUGACAAAAGACAGGCAGACCUCUCGCCUGUCCUGCUUUUCACUCUGGGUGUUGCCUCAGAAUGGAAAGACCCCUUGGAGGCCAAACAAAGGAACAAUUCAAGAUAUUGGCACUGGUUUUGAGAAAGUGAACAACUUUAAAGGUUGAGAAAUAAAUCCUUUUGCAGAUCUAAUUCUUGCAAAAGGUAGUUUCCAAGAUUUUGCUUUCAAAAUAAUUGAAAGAGGACCUAUUGAGUUGUCAGCUGAUAGAACAUUAAAAAUUACGUUUGAUAAUGGAUCACAGGGCAGUUUUUUACAUAUAACUCAGAACUUCAAAGAAAUGAGUGAUGUUGCUAUAAGAAAACUCCUUCCAUGGCCAUCUGCUUAUUUAUAUAAAGAACGUUCCUCAGCACUAUUUUUAAAAACAAAAAAGAAUAAAAUUGAUGCUAUAAAUUAUACUCAGCCCUAAAAACUGAACUUGCUUAAAAACUAAAGCAGCUCUUUUCAUCUUACUAAGAGAUACAUUUCCAAUAAAAUUUCACUUUUAUGUUUAAUGAUUAUAGGUGGUCAAACCAUUAGAGUGAUAACACCGUCAAAAGUUGUUUUUUUUUACCCUUAGAGAAUAACAGUCACAGGAAAUCUUCUAAAAUUUAAAUUUGUUCCCAUACUUUUAUUGCCUUGAAGUAUGAUAGAAUGAUUUUUAAAAAAAGACUUUCAAGCAUACAGAUAGAUUACAUCAAGAGUAAAAUUCUUUGGGGGAAGCAGAAUGAAAUGAGCUGAAAUUGAAAAGGGAACAAUGUAAAAUUUCCUUGUGUUAAACACUAUUUUUUUGAUAUAUUUUUUAAACGACGAUGGCAGGUAUAAAAUGGCUGUGAUAUUUGGAUACAUUUUAAAGAAUAAUAUAACAAGGCUUCAAAAGUGUCCAUAUUUAUUAUGAUGGAAAUUACAUCUUUUGUUGAAGAAACAUUUUAAAUAACGUAAAACUGCAUAAGGGAGAAAGUUCUUCGAAUUCUUUAAGCAAAACACAGACAAAUAAUUCGAACCAUUGCCUUAGGGACCAUCUGAUCCAGCUCUCUUUACUUUGCAGAUGAAAAACUUGUCCAUCAAAGUGAAGUAACUUCCUCAAGGUCAAGUGACAAAUAAGACCAGAUCCUGGUCUCCUGCCUCCUGGUCCAGGCAGCCAGAUCUAAUCCAGGCAGCCUGCCUGGUAGGGUUUGCUCAUCAGGCACAUCUGCCAGGAACCAGCCUCAUCCCCACUGCCUGCGACACCAGCAAGUGCUUGGCUGGGCUCAGGGAGUGGGCGAACAGGGCUGCAGGAGAGACAAAGUCGGUGCCUUCUUCACUUUGCUGUGACGGCGCUGCUUUUUCCCUUUUCUCACCCUAGAGCUGCUCAAAUUCUCUCAGCUACAGGUAGGGUUACCAUACAAUUUAUUGUCCAAAUUAGCACACCUUUGAAAGGGGGUAAAUAUAUUAAUAAUUACGCUAAAAACACAGGUAGACACCAGGACCAUCCUGGGAUAGAAGGUCACCUUAGCUAUUGGGCUCCUGGUGAGGGAGGAAGGAGGGAGAAAACCACUCAAAACAUUGGAUUAGGCAUGGGGAGUGUUAGAGCAGCAGAGAAAUCAAGGCAAUCUGGCCUGGAAUUGGGUGAUAAUAACCAAAUGAGGGGGGAAAUGUCCAGACAAUGAAUGUAUUGUUGUUUUUCACUAACAUUCUGGUGAAAGCCAACACUACCGAUGGGCAGAAUCGACAGCUAUGCACAGAAUUUGCAAGUCCAGAAAAGUCCAGAAUUUUAUAUAAAUAUACACAUAUGUACAUAUAUAUAUAUUAAGUUACCUCUAUGAUGCCUAGUAUUGCCCAAAUUAGAGUUAUUGCUCAGGUCUUCUAGAAACUAAUGCCUUUUACCUGGGUGGUAUAACUUGGAGGGAAUACCAUAAAUGCAUCCUUCUCUACCUUACAGGGAAGAGUCGUGAGAACAUGGCUCACAAGACAGGCAAGUUUUGGAGGGGGGACCAGAGAUGACACAGUAAAUGAUCAGAACAGAAGGUGCUGAACCAAGCUCACUGGGAGGAGGAGACCCCGCCCAGGCCACAGCCUGUGGGACAGGCAUUCUGUGUGGCAUGUUCACACACGAAGCCCCAUCUAACCCUUCCUACAACCAUGCAGGUUGACUUGCUUUACCCACAUGUAAGGCCCAGAUGGCGGGUUACUCCUCUGAAAUGCCUUUGAAAGAUCAUUACAGGAGAUAGACUGUGCCAGAAGUCAAAAGAAUGACGGAUUGGACUCGUGCAAUUCUCCUUGUUGACAAGUGCUUGACCCAUUAUUUCAUCCAGAAUGGAUAAGAGCCCUGUGGAACUGGGCAGGUGUCAUUAAUGACCCCUUUAGGAUGAGCACCACUGAGGCCCAUACUCCAAGCGUCCUGCCUUUGGGGUUAGUGAUUUGGUGCAUUUCUACAGGUUAUAGACCUCCAUGCAGUUUAUGAGAGGUCAAUCCUGACAAAUGUCCCUUGACCUAAUAGGGAGGAUAAUUGUGACACUCCAGUCAUGCACAUUGAGGAAAUAUUCGUUUACAAUUAGAUUCCCAUGCAACCUCUGCCAAGGUCUCUAGGUCCCUAAAAACUUGAUUCCUGCCCACCUUUCCAACCUCUCAUUUUUUCCUGUUCUCUUUUUAUUCUAGAGUGGCCUCCUUUCUGGUCCUAGACUAUAGCAAAUCAUUUCCCAUUGGUUGUUCCCUCUGCCUGGACUUCUUUCCCCCAGAUCUUUAUGUGGCUGGCUUAUUCUCAGGCCUCAGACCAAGGUUGACUUCCUUAGUUUCUCCCUUACUGCCUUAUCUAAAGCAGCCUCCCUGGUUACUCUCACGUCAUCCUGCUUAUUUCCUUGAUAACACAGCCCAUCUGCAAUUCUCUUGGUUAUCUGUUAUAAACUUUUAUUAUGUUUUCUCCAUUAGAACAGAAGUCCCAUGAGGCAAGGACCAAGUCUGAGUUUUUAUUGCUCUAUUUCCAGUGCCGGUACAUAGGAGGUACUCAAUAUGUGCUUUUUACAAAUAAAAUGAAUAAGCAACUUCAACUGGGAAUGCUUGAUCUGGGUCUAUGGCCAGCUAGCAUUUCUACCACAGAUGGCUAUCUCUAUCUGUAAUUCCAACAAGAGUUCAUCCAGGAAGCUACAGUCAGUCCAUCACUCGCUCACCUCACUAGAGGUACCCACUGUGAUGGAAGGAAACCGCCAUCUACUUGAAAGUGUCCUCUGCUCUGCAUGCCUCAGGAUGGGAGCAUCAAGCUCGUGCUGGGCAAACCUCUCAGGGCUAAGUCCUCCAAUCUGUAUAUAAACUGCUUGCUUUUUUUUUUUUUUUUUAAAGCAAAUCCCAUGUGCUCUAAUCCAAUUUUAAUGGUGCAGUUAUGAGGAAGCAUACUAUACAGAGUUACUUAAUUGGAAAAUACGUCAAGGAAAAAACACUCUUCAAUCUGCUUUGACAAGAUGCUUCAGGCAUUAUUCAAUCCCAAGAGAUUUCAGAGGCUCCAGCACAUGUUAAUCUCAGAACAAUUUCAUUGGCCUCUGGCCAUCUUAAACUCAGAUAGUGUUGCCUGUUUUAUUUAUUUAUUUAUUUAUUUAUUUUUUUUUAAAGAUUUUAUUUUUUUCCUUUUUCUCCCCAAAGUCCCCCCAGUACAUAGUUGUAUAUUCUUCAUUGUGGGUCCUUCUAGUUGUGGCAUGUGGGACGCUGCCUCAGCAUGGUUUGAUGAGCAGUGCCAUGUCCGCGCCCAGGAUUAGAACCAACGAAACACUGGGCAGCCUGCAACGGAGCACGCGAACUUAACCACUGGGUCACGGGGCCAGCCCCUAUUUAUUUGUUUUUUUAAUUCCACUUUUACUGCUGUCUUAUGACCAUGAUGCUGCUUCCUUUAAAGUGAGAACCCUGGGAUUCUGGUAGGAGACAGCAAUCAAAGUGAAAGGAGUUACAAACUCUAUGGGAAGGUAGAGGAGAAAUUUUAGAAAUAGAGAAUAGGAAAAAAAAAAAUGCGAAGGGCUGGCCCAGUGGCGUAGUGGUUAAGUUCAUGUGCUCUGCUUCAGCAGCCUGGGGUUUGCAGGUUCGGAUCCUGGGCAUGGACCUACACACUGCUCAUCAAACCAUGCUGUCGUGGCGUCCCUUAUACAAAAUAGAGGAAGAUGAGCACAAAUGUUAGCUCAGGGACAAUCUUCCUCAAGCAAAAAGAAGAAAAUUGGCAACAGAUAUUAGCUCAGGGCCCAUCUUCCUCACCAAAAUAAAUAAAUAAAGCCUACUGAAGGCAGACAAGAGCUUAUUAUGAUAGUAAAGAAUUCCCAGGCUGGAUGAUAGAGGUCCAGGGAGGUGGCCCAGCACGUGGAGAUGUUUUGUUCAUGGGGAUUUUUGCCAACUCUGAAGGAAGUAGCUGAGAGGCUGAAAGGCUGAAGGGUACUUUGGACAGCCAUAUUGGGCUAGGGGGCCCAAGCUAGUGCCCACCAAGAGUACCUCUAGUGAACAGUUAGUUGAGACCCCAAAGGGAUCACCCUAGGAAUAAGCGUGAACUAGAGUUAGAAAAUCCUUGUAAAGAUUAAAGCUCAACCUCAAAUGAUCUCAUCUCUGAACUUGGAUUGAAGUAAUCCAGAUUGGUGGUGUUUCUCUCUGGAGGAAAAUGUCACCUUAGAUCUAAAAUUAAUUCUACACACAAUGUUGCAAAUACAACAUUGGGCACGUGAUAAAAAAUAACCAAGUACAUGAUGAGAUAAGGCAACAUGAAAAACAAACAAAGAAACAAAACCAGAAACAACCAUCCACAGAAACAGACCCAUGGGAGCUUCAGCUAUAAGAAUUAUCAGUAAAGUCUUAUAUUAACUGUUUCCUAUGUUCAAGAAGAUAAAUGAAAAGACUGGAAAUUUUGACAAGAACUGGAAAUUAUAAGAAAGAAACAAGUGGAAAUUUUAAAGAUUUUAUUUUUUCUUUUUCUUCCCAAAGCCCCCUGGUACAUAGUUGUGUAUUUUUAGUUGUGGAUCCUUCUAAUUGUGGCAUGUGGGAUGCCACCUCAGCAUGGCUUGAUGAGCGGUGCCAUGUCUGUGCCCAGGAUUUGAACCGGUGAAACCCUGGGCCACCAAAGCAGAGUGCACAAACUUAACCACUCAGGCACGGGGCUGGCCCCACAAAUGGAAAUUUUAGAACUGAAAAACAUAACAACUGAAAUUAAGUACUCAAUGGAUGAGUUUAACACAGAUGAAGGGAGAACUGGCAAAAUGGCAGAAAGUCCAGAGGAAAUAAUUCGGAAUGAAUCAUGAAGAGAUAAAUUAAUGGACAAUAUAUAGGCAAGGAUAAGUAAAAGAGAAUACGAUAAGAAGAUAUCACCUACUUGAGAGAGAGAGAGAAUGAGGAAAAAGUAAUAUCUGAAGAAAUAAUGGUGAGAAUAUUCCAAAGCUGAUGAAAAGAUAUUAAGCCAUAUAUUCAACAAAUCUUUCCAAUCCCAAACAGAUUUUUAAUAAGGAGAAAACCACAUCUAGUCACAUUAUAGUAAAACUUCUAAAACUAGGGGGCUGGCCCCGUGGCCGAGUGGUUAAGUUCGCGUGCUCCGUUGCAGGCAGCCCAGUGUUUCGUCAGUUCGAAUCCUGGGCGCGGACAUGGCACUGCUCAUCAGACCACGCUGAGGCAGCGUCCCACAUGCCACAACUAGAAGAACCCACAACGAAGAAUACACAACUAUGUACCGGGGGGCUUUGGGGAGAAAAAGGAAAAAAUAAAAUCUUUAAAAAAAAAAAAAAAACAAACUUCUAAAACUAAAGACAAAGAGAGAAAAAUCUGAAACAUAUCCUGAUUAUAACACAAACAACAUUCAACGAAGCAACAGACAGACAGCCUACUUCAACAGAAGCACUGUAAAACACAAGACAACGUGACUGUAAAUGCAUCAGAAUGAGUGGGAAAUACAUCUUUAGGUAAACAAAAGCUGGUAGAGUUUGUUACUAGCAGAUCUGAACCAAAGGAUACUAUUCAGGCAGAAGGGAAAUGAGUCCAGAUGAAAGCUUGAAGAUGCAGGAAGGAAUCCGAAAAAAUAAAAAAAGGUUAAUUUAACUCGAUAUUGACAUCAAACAAUAACAGGAAUUAGAAUACACAAGUACAAUGGCAUAUAAGGGAGGGGGGAGUAAAUGGAAUUAAAGUACUCUAAGACCCUUACUUAGUUCAGGAAGAAGAUAACAACAACAAUCAAAUUAGACUUGUGAAGAAUGCAGUUGUUGUCUAUAUGCAAAAGAGGCUAUAGCUUCCAAGCUACAAGAAAGAAAUAAAAUAGUAAUAAUUUUAAAAAUUCAAAAUAAAAACAAAGGUGAGAAAAAAAGAAUGUAGACCAAAACAGAGUAACAAUAAGUUACAUAAUUAAAUAAGAUUAUAAACCUGAUUAUAGCAGUAAUUAUACAUAAUGCAUUGAGACAGUCAAAGAUCUUCAAACUGAUAUAAAAGACUAUGUUUAUGAGAAUUAUCUGUAUCUAUAUGAAUACAGUAAUGUUAAAAGUAACAAGAGAGAUAAAGAAAUAACAAUAUAAAUAGCAAUGAAAGGAAAGUGAGUAUAGCUAUAUUAAUAUCAGAUACAGUAACCUGUAUCUGUAAAGAGGAACACAAUAAUGGUAAAAAUAUACAUUUUAUCAGGAAGAUAUGAAAAUUUAAAAUUUGUAUCCACCUAAAAAAUAUGGCUUCAAAAUAAUAUAAAGCAGAAAAAGAACAGAACUAAAUAGGAAAAUAGACAAAAAUAUUCGAGUAGAAGUUUUGGGGGUUUUUUUGUUGGUUUUUCUUUCUUUCUUUCUUUUAGUGAGGAAGAUUGGCCCUGAGCUAACAUCUGUGACCAUCUUCCUCCAUUUUGUAAGUGGGAUGCCGCCACAGCAUGGCUUGAUGAGCAGCGUGUAGGUCUGCCCCUGGGAUCCGAACCCGGGAACCCUGGUCUGCUGAAGUAGAGUGCACAAACUUAACCACUACACCACCGGACCAGCCCCAGAGUGGAAGUUUUUUAAACAUACUUUGUAACUGAUAGAACGAGCAAACAAAGAUCAGAAGAACUUGGAGGACUGGAGCAACAUGAUUAAGAAAUCACCUGAUUCAUAACAUGGAGUGUUCAACGGCAGGGUACAUACUCUUUUAAAGCAUAUAUGGAAAAACUGACCAUAUACUGUGUCAUAAAGCAAGUCUCAACACAUUCCCGAGGACUGAAGUCAUACAGCGUAGGCUCUCUGACCACACUGCAGCCGAAAAGAAAUCAGUAACAAAGAGAUACCAGGAAACCCUCAUUUAUAGGGAAAUUAAGAAAUACGCCUCUAAGUAAUCCCUGUGUCAAAAAAGAAAACACAAUGCAAAUUAGAAAAUAUUUUGGGUGGCAUGAAAUGAAUGAAAAUGUUAUAUAUUAAAAUAGGGAGAAAUUUCUUGAUGUUAAAAUGUUGGACAUCAUAUAUCAACUUUUGACCAUAGAAAAGCUGGAUUUAACUCUUUGAAACCUCCUCAUGCCCCCCCCCCCCCAAAUAUUUCCCUUCUCCCCACUCCCCACCCUCUCAAAUGGUUAUAGCACAUAUUGGUUAAAUUAAUAUUCACUAUUUAUAUUAUUUUGGUUAUGUAAGUAUUUUUCAGAAAAUAUAUAUGGACUAGAUGUUGCCUUCAAGGCAGACCAGUCUUCCCCUCCUAUCUAUCCUAUUUACUUUCUUAUGCCUUUGCCAUCUCUGAACCUCCUCACCCAGCUGUCAAUGACAUCAGCUAACAGUUAAGCAGCUAACAACCUCCAGAAUCCAGACUGCCAGGGCCGAAGCUUCCCUGGAGCUGAUGGCAACUCAAGAUGGAAAGAGACGCGUUUGCAGAUUCCAAGAUGGCCAGAGCAAAGCUGAGGAUGCACAAGGGAAAUAGUGCUAAAAAAAAAUAAAGUAGAUGCUUUCACAGCAGAUGGGAAUAGCUGUUUCUUUUUGGCUAACUGUGAGAGCACAGAGCGAGAAUAGACUGAGAGUUGAGCAUGCUUAAUGAUUUUAUUACAGGGGAAAAACAAAAGUUCAAACUUUUUAAUUUUCCUUUUCAAUACCAAAAAAAAAAAAAAAAGGGAAAGAAAGAGAGGAAGGAGAAAGAGGCCGUUCCCAGGAUACAAAUCUAUUGCUUAAGGAAUGUUCCCCAGGAUACAAGCAUGUGCUUAUGAAUGAGAGCAGGUGGCGUUCUUCUGCUGUGACCCCCUAGGAGGCAGCCUCUUUAUCCACUAAGUGCAGGGGGUGGUGUAUAAAGAAAAGAAAGGGAGGGGAGCUUCUCUCACAGCCAGAGCAGGUGGGGAGGCAGAAAGCAAGUGUCUUCAUUACGGGCAGUGAAGCAGGAUGAACAGUUUGUUGUCCCAGCUUCCUGGUUAGAAGCCAAAGUGCAUUUUCAACUGAAGCAGGAAAUCUCUAGCACUUUCAGGAAUGGUUAGGUAUGGGGUAUACUCUUGUAUCAGCAUGGAAGAAGACAACAACAAAUAUUAUCUAUAAAAAAAGAGCUGGGGUUUUAUUUUUCUCCUAUUGAAAUAUAAAGAUUCCUACAGAAGAGCUGGAAACUUCACCACCAUUCAUUUUUUUCAUUCGUCCGACAGGUAUUUCUGGAACACUUACUGAGUACCCUGCACUGAGCUAAAGCUAGACUUUUCUCAGAAUGAACUGAGAGUCUGUGAGGGGAUGCAGAUACCAAAAGGCAGUCACGACAGCGUAAUAAGGUGAAACGAGGUGGAUUCAGGUGCUACCUGCGCCCAGGAGAGGUCGUGCUCCGUGCAGGCUGGGUGGAGGACGGGCUGCUUUUACGGAAACUGUCAUCUAAGGUGACACCUGAAACAUAAGGAUCUGUGGCACUGCAACUAUGGGAAAAUGUUAUAAAUCCAAGCUUAGGCCUUACGACAGACCUAACAGGCAUGGAAAUUUAAGUUUGCUCGUAUAUAAUUUCUUUCUAAAGCAAAGAAAGAAGUCACUCAUACUCGUUGCUAAGACUUCUGAUUUUUACCAAUUAUCUUGAGGCUGAAACCCUUUCUGUUGUUUCGCUUUCCACACGACCACCUAAAAAGGUCCCAGUCCACUCAUGUGCUUUGCUCCACUGCUUUCUGACCCGUUAUGCAGGGUUGCCUCAAAAUAUUUCUUGGGAAUUCAGGGAGAGUUCACGAUGGGGAAGGCUGGCGACUGCGUCUCAGAACUCGCUCUCAGCAAGCCCUCCAAAGGUAACCGGCCGAGCCCUGCUUUUGAUCAAAUUUUAAUGAUCACGCUGAUAUAAACUACUUUCUGUUCCUGAUCUAUUUCCCAGGAUCUUUCCUGCAGUUAAUCACCAGCUGAAUGGAUCCUGGGGCUCCAGGCCAAAGUGAAAAUGCUGCUCAGCUUGCAAGCAUCAUUACAGAGCACUUUGAUUAGCUCUGACUCACCCUGCGCCGUCUCCACAGCCUGCAAGAAGGCUGCCUGUUACCUUUGUUUCCUCCAGUUCCCAUGGAUACCACCUGAAGGGGCUUCGAAAGCUUCUAAUACCGGCUUCCUCUGUCUUUUGUGACUCUCCACCGAAAUUUCUUCUUCCCCUCAUCCCCGGCAAGAGUUGUAGCCAGAACAUGCUGUCCAGCCUGGGACUACGUUUCUCAGCCUCCCUUGAGCCACUUGAGGUUAUGUGUCUACACCUUCACCAAUGGAACUUGAGCAAGAGGGUGCCACACUCAAGCUGGAGCCCACUGCCUCCAUGAUCUUUUCCUAUUCCCUUUUGGUCUUGUUGGUGAAAACAUGUAAUGGUCUUAAAAUCCAUGAGUUGCUAUCAGACUUGGUGCCUAAGCCACGCAUCAACCCAGAGCCCUUGUCUGGAUGGCUUCACGACAGAGAAAGAAACAGCUUGUUCCUCAGCUCACCACAUUUUAGAGAUCUUUAUUAGAAAGCUUACGUUGCCCUAGCAAACUUGGCCACAACGCUCCAAGGUAAGUUUUUUUUUUUACUAACCCCAUUUUACUAAUGAUAAAAAUGCAGCUCAGAGAAGUCAGGUAAUUUGUCUAAAGUCAUACCUUUAGUAAUUAGCAGGUUUGGGAUCCAAAUCUAGGUUUCCUGCCAAUUAGUGAUGCUAGAGGUCGGAGGAGUGGGUCCCUAGGGUGGAGGAGUGACGGCAAGGGUGCAUGAGGGGGACUCCCUUUGUCUUCUUAGGAGAAACGGGAUUCGGUUGGUAAUUAUCUUUAACAUUUAGACAACAUGUUGUCAUUAUACAAAGCUCUGUCACACAAUUAACUCAUUUAAGCCUCACGAAUACCUUGAACAGAUGAGGAGACCGAGGUUUGCACAAGUUAGAUAUCUUGAACACAGUUAAUAAAAACUGGCUCUAGGCUCUGAACACAGAUCUUCCCUUUACAUCCUGUACCCAGUGCGUUCCAGUAUGCUGAAGCAACUCUCUCAGGUGUAAGUUACAACGACCAACUCUUACUAGCUUAAACAACAAACAAACCAACCCCACCCCCACCCCAUACACCCCUAUCCGCACAACUAGGCUGGGGACAAAGUAGAACUAGCCAAAGUAGCAUGGCUGUCAUCAGAUUUCUAGUUCUCUCACUCUGCCACUAAUCUUCCUCCAUGGAGAGGAAAAUGGGGCCAGAGUCAGCUGCAACUUACAGCUUCCAAGCUUAGCAACCACGUAGGAAAAACUGAGCUCUGGCCAACUGGUUUACUAUUUACAAGUCCUAGGCAAAGACCCUGACUGGCCCAGCUUGGAUCUGUUGCCUUCUCCAUGGACCAAUCAUUGAAGCCAGGGGAUGGGGCCAGACACUUAUUGGUAGUCCCCUAGAACCACACGGCAUGGGUGGCAGGACAGGAACAGUUAUCUAUAGGAAGUGGAGGAAGGUGGAUGCUGAUGUCAGAAUAGGAAAGGGAAGUUGGACAGACGAAAACAGAUCCAUUAUACGUACCCUGCAUUGUAGAAAGGUUUCGCCAUAGAAAUUGCGGCAGCAUCCAUUCCUUUUGAAAACACUGCAUGUGCGUGUGUGUCUAUAUAAAUGUAUGUAUUAUAUAUAUAAUUGUCUCUUGGUCUUACUAUAGACAUCCUCUCGCAUAGUGUGGUCCAAAAAGUUGCACUCCGUGACUUGCCUGUUCCUUCAGAACCCUCUCUAGAACUUCUUAGCAGCUCCCUUUUAAUUACAGGCCCCAGGGGAGUCUGACCAGUGUAUGUGCACAGCGUCCUGUCCCAGGGAGACCAAAGCCCCUGAUUUAAGGGAUGAGGGAGGAAAUAAUUGCACGGAGGUGUGGAUAUCUGUGCUCUGUGUGAGGAGUGGGAGAGAAAAGUUUACAUAUACCCUUAGUUUUCUGUCUCCAGGGUUACUCUGAGGAUCAAAAUUCAUUUUCACCACAGUCCCUCAGUGUGAAGAGAAGACUUUAACAAAAAGUCAGGUACACCGUUCUGCCUGCCCUUCACGUGUGCAGAGGUUUUGGCUGCUCCCAGCCAAGUCGCUGCACUUGGUUACCCCAUGAGUCCAACUGCUGGCCACAGGAGCUCCACGUGUACUGGGCCAAGAAAGCAGGCAGUCAGAGCUGCCAGAGCCGGUGGAGACAUCUCUCUGUUCUGGCACGUGAAUCUCCCUACUCUGGUAUGUGACCUCUCUAACAACUUGUCACACAUUUCUAAGACUCCAGACAUUUUUUUUUCAAACUUUGUCUUAAAUAGUGGCUUUUAAACUUUUAAAUUAAAAAAUUAAACCCACAGUAAAAUAUAAAUUUAACAUUGACCUGUACACACACUAACACACACACAUACACACACACAAUAUAAGCAAAAAUAUUUCGUGAGAAACAUGUAAUAUUUACCCUUACCCUGUGUGUUGCACUCUGAUACAUCCUAUUCAAUUUUAUUUCAUUUUUGAAAAAUUGCGAGACAUAAAUGACUACCUUGUUUUCACGACAGGUCGUGACCUACAGUUUGGGGAGCACAUUGUCCAACUGUUCUAAGCACUGCCCCGAGCACAUCAUCCCCUUAGACUGGGGCUCCAACCCAUCAAAUGCUUCGAAAGCCCUCGGUUUCAGGACCCCAGCCCAGGAGUGCGUGAGCUGUGCUAGGUUGGGGAGGCAGGUCCCGGGCCCCAGUCCCUCAGGAGGUGUCUUGGAGUUAGAAGGGACACCUUCUCAGCUGCAUAAAUCUCUUCCACAUCACCCCAGAACAGGUGGCCCAGGCUCUGCUCCACGUCCCCGGCUGUCAGGAGCUCACUGCCUGCUGCUUUAACUGACUGAGAUAUUAAAGAGUUCUUCAACGUUCCCAGUAGAAAUAACCAUGCUGCCACGUGCAUCCUCCAUGCUGGUCCUGCCCUUGGAAGCCAGGAAAAACCCUAUGGUCAUGUUUGGUUUUCAAGAGAGGAAAGAGUUGUUGACUCCAUCCAGAUGGGGACUGCGAGGGACUGGUCUGCCCUGGAGCCGGGGAAGGCUUCCAGUGGGUGCAGAGAACCAGAGCAGGAGCCUCUGAUAGACUUGCGAUGAUGCAUGUCCACUGGGAGCUCAGGAAGCAUAAAAGGAGCAUGUGCAGGUUUCUCCUGCAAAAGCCCGGGUCAGAGGCACAUCUCCAGCAGGACUGGCAUUCAGAAGGGCUACUUUGGGGAGACAGCUUCUUAAAAAAGGAGCAAUUUACGAUCUCAACAUUUUUGGAGAGAACGUGUUUUAUUCAUUCCCUGCCACAACCCACCUGUUGCAUAUGGCGCUGUGGGCAGCGCAGGAGUUACAGACUUACAGUUACUGGUUGUUCUUCAGACAGGCUGUGCCUUGUCUGGGGGAGGCGCGGAGAGAUGUUUCCUCAAACAGCCAAGAGCAAGAAGGCUAGAGGGAGUGCAUCCGUCAUGCUGGGGGUGCACCAAGGGUCAAGCGUAGGCAAACACAAUUCUGUGCACUCAAUGUGGCAUAUGGAACAUGUACAGAGAACCCGCCAGGAUGGCCGCCAAAAUGGAUGGAAAAUGGGAGAACGGAGAGGAGACGAUGGGGAGAGGCCAGGACAAUUUCCUGCACCAAUUGUCCUGGGUAAUCAGGACAGUCUCCCUGAGCAGACUGCUGUCCCGGCUUAUGUUUUAUUGCUUGGCCAGUGCACGGCAAGUCUGCUAGGUUUACAUUAAGGCGCAACACUCAGGAAAACAGCUGCCUUCAAAACAGUGAUUUUUGCUUUCUGGAGCUGCCCUAUCCUUUAGCAGUCUCACCUUCACUCUGCCGUCAAGAAGAUCUGCCUUUUGAAUGUACAAGUCAGAGUAAAACUGUGUCAAAGUUUUUAAACCUAUAACGUUUAACCACACUGUGGAUUCACAAUGGCGAAAAGCCUCAAUCGUCUUCCAAACUGGAAAGUUUAAAGAUACUUAGCACAAAGUUGGAUCAUGGAUCCACUUUUGAAAAAGAAACUUUCCAUUUCAGCUAGAAGAGCAUCACUUUAAGUAGGAGCACUGCCUGAAAGACUGUGUAAACUAUGACCACGAAAUAAGGAACUUUUUAAACAAACACAUUAGAAUGUCUAACCCAAAUAAGUGUCAGUCUUGGGAGCAUCUUUUUCGUCAAAUGAUGCCAUUAUUGCUCAAAGCUUUUUCAAAAUUCUUCUUUCCGAGGAGCCUUCAAAACGACUUGCACAAAAGCAGAAGGAUGUCACCUGACUUGAUAGUCACAGGUUUGCUUUCUUGAUGCAAUGCAAUUUUCUUCUUUUCACACUUUUUGCAACUUUAACCCUGCCCUGCUUCCCUCUUUCACGUCAUGAACUAAUAACCAAGGGAUCCCAAGAGACGUGUUGUAAUGGUGCUACCUGAGAAAGGAAAGGUCUGGGAGAAAGAGCAUGGGGCUAGUUAUAGCUCAGAAUAGGAGAGACCAAAGGAGCAUGGCCACUGCCUCAAUCCCUUUGGAUAUUGAGUGACUAUAAGAAAUGUAAUUGGAUAACUGGCCAAGUGUCCUCAACACAAAUCAUCUCAAGUUGAACCCCCAUUAAGUCAGGGGAUAUUCCUUGGCUAUAGCCAAGAGGUAGCAUCAUGCAUCUAACAGAGAUCUGGAUUUGGUCAAAGUCUUUUUUUGCAACAGACCAGAACAUGACCGGCCAGCCAUGCUGGAGCUGGUUGCCACUGGAUGGCAGGGAAUUUUGAGGCAGAGAUAAUGUAGCAAAGAACCAGUUGUUGUUUGGAUUCCCUCAAUGGCAGCAGCUGUAAGAGAGUCUUCUAAGUGUUGGCUUGGACCAAUGUUUGGGGAAAGAUUAGUUUGAGAGAGUUCUAGUUGUGUGGAGCUACAAGAGGAGAAAGAACCAGCUCAGGGUAGGCAAGAAUAACAGAGAACCUGAGGUGUGUACCCAGAUUUGGAAGACCUAGUUGGCUUGCUGUAAGGAUUAAAUGAGAUAUUUAUGCAAAUACUUUGAAACUAUAAAAUGCUUUUGUUGAUGUGUUAUUCGCCACCUCUAUUUACCUCCCAGGAAAGCAAACGAAUUUCAACCUUCCUGCCCCUCCAGUUAUCACUUAUCUACAUCCACCUCCAUCUCCUUUGCUCUUCCUAUAGCUAGUGAAAGACACUUCCUGUUUUUAUCCAAUGCUAAUUCCUACACCUGUGCAAUGCCUGUGCUCUUCUGAUCCAUCCCUUCCUGCUUCCUGACUUCUUGUUCCAUCAGUUAUGCUUCAUUUGUUCACCUCGUCAACCUCUCCCUCCCUCUUCCCCAUCAUAAUUCAAACAUGAUCUAAGAUCUCCCAACUUAAAAAAGGAGAAAAAUCCUUCCUCACACCAUGAUUUUCCUCCCCCUAGGGCACCUCUUGUUUCUCAUACUGUUGCCUUUUCUUCAUAGUCAGCCUUCUGGCAAGGGCAAUCUCUACUCAUUACCUCCAGCUGCUUAUGUCCCAUCCAUAUGUGACCUCCCUGCAGAGGGCUCCUGGAUCUGUCACUGCACUGGACCUGGUUUUGUCAAGGUGACCAGUGACCACCCUCCACCAAAUCCAAUGGCCACGUGUUUGUUCUAUUAAUUAACUUUCUAAACCCUCUUCCCUCCGCUGCUAUGGGAACACACUCUCCUGCGGUUUCUCUCACUUUUCCAACUGUUCUGUCCCAUUCUUCUUCCUCCAUCUGUUCCUUAAACAGUGGGGAUCCCUCUUGGACUCUAGGGGCACUGAUGGUUCUUCAGCUCUUAGGAGGAAACUGGUUGGCACAUCGUUGGUUCACAGUCAAUGCCUUUUCUUGAACCAAAGGGUUUGGAGUCGGUGCUUUCUCCCUCUGGGACCCUUCUUUGGGUUCUUAUCUUCCCAGAGGUCUGGUGUAGUGAGUCAGCCUGUGGCCACCUGCUGCUGGGAAAGCACAUGACCUAAAGGUGAGGCUUCCAUCAGCAACGCUCCGGGCUCCAGAACAAACCCGUCUUUGUUCCUUCUGCUUUUUUGCUGUGCCUUUUCUAGGGUUCACCUUGCCUCUCUGUAAAAGGGGUAAGGCACAGCGGAGACUUGCAUCUGGGCUUAUGAGGACAGGUGGCCACUCGGUCCAUUGUAUCUAAGUCUUGGAUCUGCUUCCCGCAAGCCAGAGAGAGAUCCUGUGUGGCUCCAUUAGCCACACCCGGCACACCAGCCUAGGGCUCCUCGCUGAGGUCGGCGGCUAAGGCCCUCAUAUAUCUACUUCUUGGGGGCUUCCUCUGCCUGGCUACCUUCUUUAUGAACUUAUCUGCCCCAGGGUCCUAGAACAGGAUGUAGGUGUUGAGGUCUCCGGGGCGGGUAUUCUCCACUGCGUCGCAAUCUGAC